CCUACGGGAGACAGCAGUGAGGAAUAUUGGUCAAUGGGCGGAAGCCUGAACCAGCCAAGUCGCGUGAGGGAUUAAGGCCCUGCGGGUCGUAAACCUCUUUUGCCGGGGAGCAGAGGUCCGGACGUGUCCGGGCCGGGAGAGUACCCGGAGAAAAAGCAUCGGCUAACUCCGUGCCAGCAGACGCGGUAAUACGGAGGAUGCGAGCGUUAGCCGGAUUUAUUGGGUUUAAGGGGUGCGUAGGCGGGCAUUUAAGCCGGCGGUCAAAUGUCGGGGCUCAACCCCGGCCUGCCGUCGGAACUGGGUGCCUUGAGUGGGCGAGAAGUAUGCGGAAUGCGUGGUGUAGCGGUGAAAUGCAUAGAUAUCACGCAGAACCCCGAUUGCGAAGGCAGCAUACCGGCGCCCUACUGACGCUGAGGCACGAAAGUGCGGGUAUCGAACAGGAUUAGAUACCCCAGUAGUC
RNAcentral lists this ribosomal RNA (460 nucleotides) under uncultured bacterium. Its description in RNAcentral is "partial 16S ribosomal RNA". It matches the Rfam family "Bacterial small subunit ribosomal RNA", at positions 338 to 795 of the family's 1533-position model. The record is from RNAcentral.